Molecule: non-coding RNA, 438 nt
Filed under: Drosophila virilis
Lineage: Eukaryota; Metazoa; Arthropoda; Insecta; Diptera; Drosophilidae
Description: Eukaryotic large subunit ribosomal RNA
Rfam family: Eukaryotic large subunit ribosomal RNA
Source: Rfam by way of RNAcentral
GUUGUUGCGACAGCAUUCCUGCGUAGUACGAGAGGAACCGCAGGUACGGACCAAUGGCACAAUACUUGUUCGAGCGAACAGUGGUAUGACGCUACGUCCGUUGGAUUAUGCCUGAACGCCUCUAAGGUCGUAUCCGUGCUGGACUGCAAUGAUAAAUAAGGGGCAAUUUGCAUUGUAUGGCUUCUAAACCAUUAAAAGUUUUUAAUUUGUUUUAUUAACGACAAUGGAUGUGAUGCCAAUGUUAUUUAUAACAUAGUAAAUUGGGAGGAUCUUCGAUCACCUGAUGCCGCGCUAGUUAUAUUUUAAAACAUUAUUUAAUACAAUGUCAAAGCCUAGAAUCAAUUGUAAACGACUUUUGUACCAGGCAAGGUGUUGUAAGUGGUUGAGCAGCUGCCAUACUGCGAUCCACUGAAGCUUAUCCUUUGCUUGAUGAUUCGA